AACGAACGCUGGCGGCAUGCCUAACACAUGCAAGUCGAACGAGACCUUCGGGUCUAGUGGCGCACGGGUGCGUAACGCGUGGGAACCUGCCCUUAGGUUCGGAAUAACUCCCCGAAAGGGGUGCUAAUACCGGAUAAUGUCUUCGGACCAACGAUUUAUCGCCUUUGGAUGGGCCCGCGUUGGAUUAGCUAGUUGGUAGGGUAAAAGCCUACCAAGGCGACGAUCCAUAGCUGGUCGGAGAGGAUGAUCAGCCACACUGGGACUGCGACACGGCCCAGACUCCUACGGGAGGCAGCAGUGGGGAAUAUUGGACAAUGGGCGAAAGCCUGAUCCAGCAAUGCCGCGUGAGUGAUGAAGGCCUUAGGGUUGUAAAGCUCUUUUACCCGGGAUGAUAAUGACAGUACCGGGAGAAUAAGCUCCGGCUAACUCCGUG
This 433-nucleotide ribosomal RNA is filed under the name uncultured bacterium. RNAcentral describes it as "partial 16S ribosomal RNA". It matches the Rfam family "Bacterial small subunit ribosomal RNA", at positions 29 to 507 of the family's 1533-position model. The record is from RNAcentral.